This 388-nucleotide long non-coding RNA is filed under the name Hordeum vulgare. RNAcentral describes it as "long non-coding RNA (HVUL_LNC021141)". Lineage: Eukaryota; Viridiplantae; Streptophyta; Magnoliopsida; Poales; Poaceae. The record is from RNAcentral.
UACACUUAGCGGUUGAACCAAAACCCAAUUCGUGCCAUGCAUAUAUGUGAAACCAUAUUAUGUACCUAACAUGUCAUACAUGCAUGCAUAAAAAGAAUGGAGAUGCACAUAUCUCAAAGCAUCCUCAUAGUUGUGGUUCAUGUUGCUUCCUUACAUGUGCCUAAACCGGGUAAAUCAAACUUUGAGCCACAUAGUUUGUCUUGUUUCUAGAGAAUUUACCCGAUAGUGUAAGCGAAAAUUUCAACGCAUAUCUCCAAGAGACCAAUUGAGCCGUGGAUUAUUGCAGGGGGGAGUACUCCAUGGGGAGAAUAAUUAAGGUUAAAACAUAUGAUUUUUUGAGUGUCUAUAGGAACACUUGAGUUUUUAGAUGACCUUUUGAACAAAGUAG